ACCCACCCGACCGCCGCCCACCCACCCUGCCCCGCCUGGCGCCACCCACCCCAUCUUCUCCAACUGGGGCCACCCACCCACGCCAUCUUCUCUUACCUGCGGCGAUGAUCGAACCCAACCCAUCUGCUGGUGUCGCGCAGCAGAUGCGCAGAAGUCGUUCGCGCCUCAGCUGUUGGAGGUCGCGAUGCCUCAUCAUAUACGCGUGCAGCAGUGGGUCGUGCAGCAGCAACUGAUCCAGUCAGUCAACCUCCUUUGCUCUCUUGUCUUCUAGCAUCAAAGUGCCAUCAGGAUAUCUCCUUUGGGUCCAAUCUGGGAUGAAAAAUCAUCUCAAACAUCUCAAUUUAAACACAGGCAAGAAUUCAAGGGAAAAUGUAAACAAGAGAACUGAUAGAACUGCAGAAAGACCAGUCAUUCUUUACACGGGAAAAGUUACCUCAUUUGGAAUUUAUUAGCAGAUCUUUUUUGUAAUAUUAUUUGUGUAAAAUGGCAACAUUAGUUGAUCCUAUUGAUAUCAAAAUCGAUUUUUCUGCAAGAUCGAUUUGUGUCCAUCUAAUGUUGAUACUUAACUUUAAAUUUAGAAAUAAUAUAUUCGUUAAGCAUAAUUACCAAUA
Molecule: long non-coding RNA, 611 nt
Organism: Solanum lycopersicum (tomato)
Lineage: Eukaryota; Viridiplantae; Streptophyta; Magnoliopsida; Solanales; Solanaceae
Source: RefSeq, a predicted model, not a curated record